This 537-nucleotide small RNA is filed under the name Pan troglodytes (chimpanzee). RNAcentral describes it as "retained intron". Lineage: Eukaryota; Metazoa; Chordata; Mammalia; Primates; Hominidae. The record is from RNAcentral.
AAACUUUUCUCCCUGGUGGAGCAACCACUUGCAUGAGCAUGAGAGGUUGUUCCCCAGGCCAUCAGACUCCAAACAGUCAUGCAACUGGAGCCUUUGAGGAUGACCCCUUCUGCCGGGGACCCUUAGGUCAGCCUCUAGAGAAGCUUUGACUGCUGUUUCCCCAAAACAGCGCCCCCUGCCAUCAGGAAGCAAGCUGAUCAAGGAGAGAAGAUUAGGCAUGGAUAUUCAGUUUAAAAUGGUAAAGAACCAUAAUAAUACCUACCUUGAAGUGAUGAUAUAAACUACAUGACACAGAGUACUUGCUUCACACAGUGUUGGAACACACAGAGCUGCCACCUGGAAAUCCCUGCUCAUCUAAGGGUUGCAUCUAGACUCUGGUAGAUUUGGGGAGGGUGGCAUUUGAGUUAUGUCCUUUCCCGAGCUGUCCCAUGCCACAGCUUGCUGCUCUGUUGUCUCCUGACAAUUGGUCUCCUUGCUGCUAUUUCCAGAAAGCUUCACACACUCCUCUCACUCCUCAGACCAUCUUUCACAUAAUAC